CUGGGCUAGAAUGCCUCUGACAACCCUAGAGAUAGGGCUUCCUAGGGAAACCUAGGCAGAGUGCAAGGUGCUGCAUGGCUGUCGUCAGCUCGUGUCGUGAGAUGUUGGGUUAAGUCCCGCAACGAGCGCAACCCUUAUCGAUAGUUGCUAGCGGUUCGGCCGAGCACUCUAUUGAGACUGCCGUUGACAAAACGGAGGAAGGUGGGGAUGACGUCAAGUCCUCAUGGCCUUUAUGUCCAGGGCUACACACGUGCUACAAUGGCAAGUACAAAGCGCUGCAAACUCGCGAGGGGGAGCCAAUCGCAAAAAGCUUGUCUCAGUUCGGAUUGGAGUCUGCAACUCGACUCCAUGAAGCUGGAAUCGCUAGUAAUCGCAAAUCAGCACGUUGCGGUGAAUACGUUCCC
This 404-nucleotide ribosomal RNA is filed under the name uncultured bacterium. Its description in RNAcentral is "bacterial SSU rRNA". It matches the Rfam family "Bacterial small subunit ribosomal RNA", at positions 975 to 1375 of the family's 1533-position model. The record is from RNAcentral.